RNAcentral lists this non-coding RNA (30 nucleotides) under Mus musculus (house mouse). RNAcentral also lists the same sequence under 1 other name. The record is from RNAcentral. Lineage: Eukaryota; Metazoa; Chordata; Mammalia; Rodentia; Muridae.
UAGUAUCUGAAUUGAGUCCUUUCUAUGGGA